UUAGGAAACCUAUUAGGCGCCAACAAUUGGAGUCCUUAUACCUACAUUAACACACCCCAAAAUACACCCAAGGAAUGCCCCAUAUGAGAUCCAUAGGCCCUCUAAUCAUGGGACACGCCCAACUUGAUUAAAUCAAGGUGGUGCCCAAGAAUAACUAUCAAGAAAAUUAAUUAGAGAGUUGCACCCUUAAUUCAUAUGAUCCAAACCCUUAGACACCCA
RNAcentral lists this long non-coding RNA (219 nucleotides) under Elaeis guineensis (African oil palm). RNAcentral's name for it is "long non-coding RNA (EGUI_LNC045601)". The record is from RNAcentral. Lineage: Eukaryota; Viridiplantae; Streptophyta; Magnoliopsida; Arecales; Arecaceae.